RNAcentral lists this ribosomal RNA (497 nucleotides) under uncultured bacterium. Its description in RNAcentral is "partial 16S ribosomal RNA". It matches the Rfam family "Bacterial small subunit ribosomal RNA", at positions 28 to 507 of the family's 1533-position model. The record is from RNAcentral.
GAUGAACGCUGGCGGCGUGCCUAAUACAUGCAAGUCGAGCGAACGGACGAGAAGCUUGCUUCUCUGAUGUUAGCGGCGGACGGGUGAGUAACACGUGGAUAACCUACCUAUAAGACUGGGAUAACUUCGGGAAACCGGAGCUAAUACCGGAUGAUAUUUUGAACCGCAUGGUUCAAAAGUGAAAGACGGUCUUGCUGUCACUUAUAGAUGGAUCCGCGCUGCAUUAGCUAGUUGGUAAGGUAACGGCUUACCAAGGCAACGAUGCAUAGACGACCUGAGAGGGUGGUCGGCCACACUGGAGCUGAGACACGGUCCAGACUCCUAAGGGAGGCAGCAGUAGGGAAUCUUACGCAAUGGGCGAAAGCCUGACGGAGCAACGGCGCGUGAGUGAUGAAGGUCUUCGGAUCGUAAAACUCUGUUAUUAGGGAAAAACAUAUGUGGAAGUAACUGUGCACAUCUUGACGGUACCUAAUCAGAAAGCCACGGCUAACUACGUG